Molecule: ribosomal RNA, 353 nt
Filed under: uncultured Gigaspora
Lineage: Eukaryota; Fungi; Glomeromycota; Glomeromycetes; Diversisporales; Gigasporaceae
Description: SSU rRNA
Rfam family: Eukaryotic small subunit ribosomal RNA
Source: RNAcentral
AGCAGCCGCGGUAAUUCCAGCUCCAAUAGCGUAUAUUAAAGUUGUUGCAGUUAAAAAGCUCGUAGUUGAAUUUCGGGGUUCUACCGUUGGUCGGGCAAUAGUCUGUACUGGCGUGCGGAAUUUCUACCUUCUGGGGAACCAUCAUGUUAUUUAUUUAGCGUGGUGGGAAACCAGGACCUUUACCUUGAAAAAAUUAGAGUGUUCAAAGCAGGCUUACGUCUGAAUACAUUAGCAUGGAAUAAUAAAAUAGGACGGUGGUCCUGUUUUGUUGGUUUCUGAAUCACCGUAAUGAUUAAUAGGGAUAGUUGGGGGCAUUAGUAUUCAAUUGUCAGAGGUGAAAUUCUUGGAUUUAU